UACAGAGGGUGCGAGCGUUAAUCGGAAUUACUGGGCGUAAAGCGCACGUAGUCGGCUUUGCAAGUCGGGUGUGAAAUCCCCGGGCUCAACCUGGGAACUGCAUCCGAGACUGCAUUGCUAGAGUAUGGGAGAGGGAAGCGGAAUUUCUGGUGUAGCAGUGAAAUGCGUAGAUAUCAGAAGGAACAUCGGUGGCGAAGGCGGCUUCCUGGACCAAUACUGACGAUCAGGUGCGAAAGCGUGGGGAGCAAACAGG
RNAcentral lists this ribosomal RNA (253 nucleotides) under uncultured bacterium. Its description in RNAcentral is "partial 16S ribosomal RNA". It matches the Rfam family "Bacterial small subunit ribosomal RNA", at positions 524 to 776 of the family's 1533-position model. The record is from RNAcentral.